RNAcentral lists this unclassified non-coding RNA (352 nucleotides) under soil metagenome. Its description in RNAcentral is "partial contains 5.8S ribosomal RNA, internal transcribed spacer 2, and large subunit ribosomal RNA". The stretch from base 1 to 120 matches the Rfam family "5.8S ribosomal RNA", at positions 35 to 154 of the family's 154-position model. The record is from RNAcentral.
GAUGAAGAACGUAGGGAAAUGCGAUAAGUAAUGUGAAUUGCAGAACUCAGUGAAUCAUCGAAUCUUUGAACGCACAUUGCGCCCGCCAGUAUUCUGGCGGGCAUGCCUGUUCGAGCGUCAUUUCAACCCUCAGGCCCCCAGUGCCUGGUGUUGGGGAUCGGCCCAGCCUUCCUGUAAGGCCGCCGGCCCCGAAAUCUAGUGGCGGUCUCGCUGUAGUCCUCCUCUGCGUAGUAGCACAACCUCGCAGUUGGAACGCGGCGGUGGCCAUGCCGUUAAACACCCCACUUCUGAAAGUUGACCUCGGAUCAGGUAGGAAUACCCGCUGAACUUAAGCAUAUCAAUAAGCGGAGGA